UGGUCAAGUUAUUAAGGGUGCAGGGUGGAUGCCUUGGCACUAGGAGCCGAUGAAGGACGUGAUAAGCUGCGAUAAGCUUCGGGGAGUUGCACGUAAACUUUGAUCCGAAGAUUUCCGAAUGAGGAAACUCACUUAGAGUAAUGUCUAAGUAUCAUUAAGUGAAUACAUAGCUUAAUGAGGGGAACUCAGGGAACUGAAACAUCUAAGUACCUGAAGGAAGAGAAAGAAAUUCGAUUCCGUAAGUAGCGGCGAGCGAACGCGGAUUAGCCCAAACCAAUAAAGUUUUCUUUAUUGGGGUUGCGGACAUAUCAUAACGAAGAGGUAUCGUAAUUGAAGAGGUUUGGAAAGACCCACCACAGAAGGUAAUAGUCCUGUAUGUUAAACGAGAAGACUUCAGAUAUGAUCCAGAGUACCACGGGACACGUGAAACCCUGUGGGAAGCAGGAGGGACCACCCUCCAAGGCUAAAUACUACCUAGUGACCGAUAGCGUAUAGUACCGUGAGGGAAAGGUGAAAAGAACCCCGGGAGGGGAGUGAAAUAGAACCUGAAACCCUGCACUUACAAGCUGUGGAAGCACAUUUCUUGUGUGACCGCGUACUUUUUGUAGAACGGGCCAACGAGUUACGUUAAGUAGCAAGGUUAAGCACUUAAGGUGCGGAGCCGUAGCGAAAGCGAGUUUUAACUGAGCGUUCAGUUACUUGACGUAGACCCGAAACCGGGCGACCUACCCAUGAGCAGGAUGAAGCGAAAGUAAAAUUUCGUGGAGGUCCGAACCCACGAGCGUUGAAAAGCUCGGGGAUGACUUGUGGGUAGCGGUGAAAUUCCAAUCGAGCCCGGAGAUAGCUGGUUCUCCCCGAAAUAGCUUUAGGGCUAGCCUCAAGGUGAGAGAUACGGAGGUAGAGCACUGAAUGUCCUAGGGGGUAUUGCACCUACCGAAGACUAUCAAACUCCGAAUGCCGUCAUCUUAUACUUGGGAGUCAGACUGUGGGUGAUAAGAUUCAUAGUCGAAAGGGCAACAGCCCAGAUCGUCAGCUAAGGUCCCUAAAUGUAAGUUAAGUGGUAAAGGAUGUGGGAUUGCACAGACAACCAGGAUGUUGGCUUAGAAGCAGCCACUCAUUCAAAGAGUGCGUAAUAGCUCACUGGUCGAGUGAUCCUGCGCCGAAGAUUUCCGGGGCUAAAACUUACUACCGAAGCUACGGCAUCAGUAAUGAUGGGUAGGGGAGCUUCCCAUACGGGUUGAAGCAUGACCGUAAGGACAUGUGGACAGUAUGGGAGUGAGAAUGUUGGCAUGAGUAGCGAGAUGUGGGUGAGAAUCCCACAGGCCGUAAACCCAAGGUUUCCAGGGGAAGGUUCGUCCGCCCUGGGUUAGUCGGGACCUAAGCUGAGGCCGAAAGGCGUAGGUGAUGGACAACAGGUUGAUAUUCCUGUACUACCGAUAACCGUUUGAGAGAAGGGAUGACACAGUAGGAUAAGCUAAGCACACUGUUGGUUAUGUGUGCCCAAGCAUUGAGGCAGUCAAAGUAGGCAAAUCCGCUUUGAUAAUGCUGGGAUGUGAUGGGGAGCGAAAUUUAGUAGCGAAGUAGCUGAUUUCACACUGUCAAGAAAAGUCUCUAUCGAGGUUAAAGGUACCCGUACCGCAAACCGACACAGGUGGGUGAGGAGAGUAUCCUAAGGCCAGCGAGAGAACUGUUGUUAAGGAACUCGGCAAAAUGACCCGUAACUUAGGGAUAAGGGGUGCCACCAUCAGGUGGCCGCAGAGAAUAGGCCCAAGCGACUGUUUACCAAAAACAUAGGUUUCUGCUAAGUCGCAAGACGAUGUAUAGGAGCUGACGCCUGCCCGGUGCUGGAAGGUUAAGGGGAUCUGUUAGAGCAAUCGAAGCAGUGAACUUAAGCCCCAGUAAACGGCGGCCGUAACUAUAACGGUCCUAAGGUAGCGAAAUUCCUUGUCGGGUAAGUUCCGACCCGCACGAAAGGCGUAACGAUUUGGGCACUGUCUCAACAACAGACUCGGUGAAAUUGUAAUUCCGGUGAAGAUGCCGGAUACCUGCGACAGGACGGAAAGACCCCAUGGAGCUUUACUGUAGCUUGACAUUGGGUUUUGGUACUACAUGUACAGGAUAGGUGGGAGGCUUUGAAACCAGGACGCCAGUUUUGGCGGAGCCAUCCUUGGGAUACCACCCUUGUAGUACUGGGACUCUAACCAUAGGCCAUGAAUCUGGUCUUGGGACACUGUCAGGCGGGCAGUUUGACUGGGGCGGUCGCCUCCCAAAAGGUAACGGAGGCGCUCAAAGGUUCUCUCAGUACGGUCGGAAAUCGUACGUAGAGUGUAAAGGCAAAAGAGAGCUUGAUUGCAAGACAUACAGGUCGAGCAAGGAUGAAAAUCGGACUUAGUGAUCCGGUGGUUCUGCGUGGAAGGGCCAUCGCUCAACGGAUAAAAGCUACCCUGGGGAUAACAGGCUUAUCUCCCCCAAGAGUCCACAUCGACGGGGAGGUUUGGCACCUCGAUGUCGGCUCAUCACAUCCUGGGGCUGUAGUAGGUCCCAAGGGUUGGGCUGUUCGCCCAUUAAAGUGGUACGCGAGCUGGGUUCAGAACGUCGUGAGACAGUUCGGUCCCUAUCCGUCGCAGGCGUAGGAAAUUUGAGAAGACCUGUCCUUAGUACGAGAGGACCGGGAUGGACGUACCUCUGGUGUACCAGUUGUUCUGCCAAGGGCAUGGCUGGGUAGCUAUGUACGGAAUGGAUAAGCGCUGAAAGCAUCUAAGCGCGAAGCCAACUUCAAGAUAAGAUUUCCCACCGCAAGGGUAAGACCCCAGAAAGACUAUCUGGUUGAUAGGUCGAAGGUGUAAGUGCAGCAAUGUAUUUAGCUUAUCGAUACUAAUAGGUCGAGGACUUGACCAAAUU
RNAcentral lists this ribosomal RNA (2901 nucleotides) under Clostridioides difficile. RNAcentral's name for it is "bacterial LSU rRNA". It matches the Rfam family "Bacterial large subunit ribosomal RNA". Lineage: Bacteria; Bacillati; Bacillota; Clostridia; Peptostreptococcales; Peptostreptococcaceae. The record is from RNAcentral.